GAGUGACAGGGGGGUUCGCCGCGUCACCCGCGAACGUUUCGUUUCUCUUUUCUUAAAAUUAAUUCCGUUGUCAUCUUUAAAACGACACCAUAGUUCCCACUUCCCAGUUUCAGCUCCUGCGGUUUUCCUCAUUGAAGCUCCUCCUUCAAUCGCCAUUAGAGACGAAAGAAACCUCCAUCCUCCGAUGGCUGUAGUUUUUUCUUUCGUUGAAAGCUUCUCCUCCGCUCGCCAUUAGAGACGAAAGGAACGUCCUCCCUUCGAUAGCUGUAUCUUUACCAUUUUCGAUCUUAUUGAGCAGGGAGGUGAAUUUCAGGAAUUCAGGGACAAAAAAGAACCUGAGAGGGUUUGAACACCUGACCUCGUGAGAGACACUCCACAGCCCGCACUACUACCUGAAUCACACAGGGUGAUUUCAUUGUUUUUCUUUUUCCUUUGUUUUCUUUUAUAUUAUAGACAUAUGUUGUUUGAAUGUUUUAUCGACCAGAAUAGUUCCCUGGAAUGAGAAUUGUUUUUCCCUCUUGCAUUCAUGAUGUUUCGUUAAAUUGACGAAUUUAUUUAUUUAUUGAUCUUAUC
This is a long non-coding RNA of Malania oleifera, 573 nucleotides long. RefSeq lists it as uncharacterized. The transcript is spliced from 2 exons. Lineage: Eukaryota; Viridiplantae; Streptophyta; Magnoliopsida; Santalales; Ximeniaceae. The record is from RefSeq and is a predicted model, not a curated record.